GGCGGCUGGAGAAGGUUGCGGAGGAGUUUCUAAAGAAGCAGAUGAAGAAAAGUAAGAAGGUUGCUGGCGAUGGAGAAGCUCACAAGUAUGUUGCCAAGUAUAGGGACGAGUCUGAGCGCUGUGUCGCCGAGGUUGCAGAGUCUGUGAAGGAGGCUUUGAAGUCUCUCAAUUGUAAGAGAAAGGGUUCUGAAGCUGCACUGGAGAAAGCUGAUUCCAAGAAGUUGAAGAUAUGGUUGGAGCAAUGAGCAUCUCAGUAUUGCGAAGUGUGUGGCAAAUGUUCUGGCUAUGCGAGAACUGGGAUGGCGAAGUUAGUGUCUGAUGGCAGAAUUUGCAAGAAAGGGCUGAACCAGUUGAUGUAGGAGGAGGAAGUUCGCCCGGUGUUCCUCACAAUUUAGGGUCUUAUCUUCAUCAACAGGGAUUAGACCCUCCUUCAAGCUACCUUGUUCCCGAAGCUGGACUAGUUUCUAUGGAUGACUUGGCUUUUUCUUCCGGUCCCCAACACAUGUCAGCUGAAGAGAAGAAAGAGCUUCUUGUAGUUGCACGAAACAGUCUUGAAUUGCUAUCUAGCAUAAUAAAUUCUGAGGCAGAGCCCAAAACCUUGAAGCUUUACCGCUUCCUUGUGAGGAGGACCGGCAGCAACUUCAAUGUCGUGAUACUGAAGGGCAAGGUUUAUUUUUCCCUCUCUUAUCUUUCUCAGUGGAUUCUCUUGGAGGUAACAGCAGAACUGUUAUGAUAGGUUGUGAAUGCUUCAUGAAAUUACCACCUGAAAUUGGAAAUUUGGAGAAACUUGAGAAGCUUGAUCUUGAUGAGACUCAGAUCACAGAUCUGCCAAAAGAGGUCCAGAGGAUAUUGAGGUUAGAACAUGGCUUCAAUUAGGGUGUUAGAGAUGCUUGGAAACCCCAUCAAGUUGAGUGGUACAGCAAGGUCAGCACCAUCAGCUUCUAGCCCUGCCACCUUCAAGACUGUGGCUCUCUUUGGUAAGAAGGCAGCACCACCUCCUCCUUCAAAGAAAGCUGUUGCUGCUGUCACUCCUGCCAAUGAUGAACUCGCCAAGUGGUAUGGGCUUGUAUGCGGGAACAAGUAGAGGAAUCAAGAAUUCACAAUGCAGUUUCUUAGGUGCAACUAAGGUGAAUUUUCCCAGCCAAACAAUGUCCAGAACUUGUCAACUCAAUCACAAACAUAAAACACAUUCUGGGGCACUCCAUGCUACCUGCCAGGGUGACAAGAUCCUGGUAGCUAACAGAGGCAAAAUCCUGGUUCGUGCUAUUCGCACUGCUCAUGAAUUGGGAAUACCCUGUAUGGCUUUGUACUCCACCAUAGACAAGGAUGCACUUCAUGUCAAAUUGGCUGAUGAAUCCGUCUGCAUUGGCGAAGCGCCAAGUAGCCAAUCCUGCUCUGCUGGCGGUGCCGGGAAACCUGUAGUUAGAUGGACUGAGGGAGAUUUCAGAUACAAAGUUGGUUUGAGGAUAGGCUGCAAGACUUACCAGAUGACCCUAAUAAUGAAUUGAUGAUGCCCAAAGACCCUGAAUGUAAUAAGGAAGGCCAAGGAUAAGCUUGAGAAAUCUGUAGUGGCGGAUAAUGAAUCUGGGAAAAGUAUAGAAAGUGAAGUUAGAACCAGUUCUGGGAUGUUUCUCGGCAAGGAGUAGUGAAGUCAUUUAGUUCUGGAUUUUCAAAGGAAGAGACUACCUGAGGCGUGAUAAGCAUUUUCAAAGGAAGAGACCAAGGUGGUUGCGUGGUGGUUGCUGGCGAAUCCAAGGAGCGUGCCAUCGCUUCAAAGCUUGGCUGCUCAUGGUUCAUUGAGAGCUAGAAGGAAGGCUGAUGCAUUAUUAAGGUUGCUCAAUAGAUGCCGCUCUCAGCGUCAUCAUUCUCUUUGAUUCAUAUAUGUAUUCAUAUAUGUAUUUUGCAAUGACCAUGGAUUUGUAUAUUCUUCUUGUCAUUCUUAUAUGUUUGUUACAAUGAGUUUUCAUUAGGAAAUAAUCCUUAGAUGACUUAAUUACACAAGUUGUCAAAACAUAUUGAAUUUCUUUG
This is an RNA transcript of Arachis stenosperma, 2028 nucleotides long. It is a transcript of the gene named biotin carboxylase 2, chloroplastic-like, with no coding region annotated. The transcript is spliced from 9 exons. The record is from RefSeq and is a predicted model, not a curated record. Lineage: Eukaryota; Viridiplantae; Streptophyta; Magnoliopsida; Fabales; Fabaceae.